Molecule: ribosomal RNA, 371 nt
Filed under: uncultured organism
Description: bacterial SSU rRNA
Rfam family: Bacterial small subunit ribosomal RNA
Source: RNAcentral
CGAACUGUGCGAACGUUAUUCGGAAUCGACUGGGCUUACAGGGUGCGUAGGUGGCCGGACAAGUCAGGUGUGAAAUCCCUCAGCUCAACUGAGGAACUGCGCUUGAAACUGUUUGGCUAGAGUGAGCUAGGGGUGCUUGGAACUGCCAGUGGAGCGGUGAAAUGUGUUGAUAUUGGCAGGAACACCGGAGCCGAAAGGGAAGCACUGGGGCUUAACUGACACUGAGGCACGAAAGCCAGGGGAGCAAACGGGAUUAGAUACCCCGGUAGUCCUGGCCGUAAACUAUGAGAACUGGGCGGGGGAGUGCUUGCACAUCCCGGCCGUAGCGAAAGCGUUAAGUUCUCCGCCUGGGGAGUAUGGUCGCAAGGCUG